UGGCGGCGUGCCUAAUACAUGCAAGUCGAGCGCAGGAAAUCGACGGAACCCUUCGGGGGGAAGUCGACGGAAUGAGCGGCGGACGGGUGAGUAACACGUAAAGAACCUGCCCUCAGGUCUGGGAUAACCACGAGAAAUCGGGGCUAAUACCGGAUAGGUCAUCGAACCGCAUGGUUCGAGGAUGAAAGGCGCUUCGGCGUCGCCUGGGGAUGGCUUUGCGGUGCAUUAGCUAGUUGGUGGGGUAAUGGCCCACCAAGGCGACGAUGCAUAGCCGACCUGAGAGGGUGAUCGGCCACACUGGGACUGAGACACGGCCCAGACUCCUACGGGAGGCAGCAGUAGGGAAUCUUCCACAAUGGACGAAAGUCUGAUGGAGCAACGCCGCGUGAACGAUGAAGGCUUUCGGGUCGUAAAGUUCUGUUGUAAGGGAAGAACAAGUGCCGCAGGCAAUGGCGGCACCUUGACGGUACCUUGCGAGAAAGCCACGGCUAA
RNAcentral lists this ribosomal RNA (492 nucleotides) under marine sediment bacterium ISA-1197. Its description in RNAcentral is "bacterial SSU rRNA". It matches the Rfam family "Bacterial small subunit ribosomal RNA", at positions 37 to 500 of the family's 1533-position model. The record is from RNAcentral.